RNAcentral lists this ribosomal RNA (440 nucleotides) under uncultured bacterium. Its description in RNAcentral is "partial 16S ribosomal RNA". It matches the Rfam family "Bacterial small subunit ribosomal RNA", at positions 338 to 795 of the family's 1533-position model. The record is from RNAcentral.
CCUACGGUGGGCAGCAGUGGGGAAUAUUGCACAAUGAGGGAAACCCUGAUGCAGCGACGCCGCGUGCGUGAAGAAGUAUCUCGGUACGUAAAGCUCUAUCAGCAGGAAAGAACAUGACGGUACCUGACUAAGAAGCCCCGGCUAACUCCGUGCCAGCAACCGCGGUAAUACGUAGGGGGCAAGCGUUAUCCGGCUUUACUGGGGUUAAAGGGAGCGUAGACGGCGCUGCAAGUCCGGGGUGAAAGCCCAGGGGUUAACCAUGGUACUGCUCUGGAAACUGUAGAGCUUGAGUGCGGGAGGGGCAGGCGGAAGUACUAGUGUAGCGGUGAAAUGCGUAGAUAUUAGGAGGAACACCGGAGGCGAAGGCGGCCUGCUGGACCGUAACUGACGUUGAGGCUCGAAAGCGUGGGGAGCAAACAGGAUUAGAUACCCUUGUAGUC